ACUCCUACGGGAGGCAGCAGUAGGGAAUCUUCCACAAUGGGCGCAAGCCUGAUGGAGCAACACCGCGUGAGUGAAGAAGGGUUUCGGCUCGUAAAGCUCUGUUGUUAAAGAAGAACACGUAUGAGAGUAACUGUUCAUACGUUGACGGUAUUUAACCAGAAAGUCACGGCUAACUACGUGCCAGCAGCCGCGGUAAUCA
This 199-nucleotide ribosomal RNA is filed under the name uncultured bacterium. RNAcentral's name for it is "partial 16S ribosomal RNA". It matches the Rfam family "Bacterial small subunit ribosomal RNA", at positions 335 to 525 of the family's 1533-position model. The record is from RNAcentral.